RNAcentral lists this ribosomal RNA (415 nucleotides) under uncultured bacterium. RNAcentral describes it as "bacterial SSU rRNA". It matches the Rfam family "Bacterial small subunit ribosomal RNA", at positions 1 to 410 of the family's 1533-position model. The record is from RNAcentral.
AAGAGUUUGAUCAUGGCUCAGGAUGAACGCUAGCGACAGGCUUAACACAUGCAAGUCGAGGGGCAGCGGGGGAGUAGCAAUACUCCCGCCGGCGACCGGCGCACGGGUGAGUAACACGUAUGAAACCUGCCCGUAGCAGGGGGAUAAGCGGAAGAAAUUCCGUCUAAUACCGCGUAACAACCCUUGGAGGCAUCUCCUCGGGUUUAAAGGGAGCGAUUCCGGCUACGGAUGGUCAUGCGUCGCAUUAGCUUGUUGGCGGGGUAACGGCCCACCAAGGCGACGAUGCGUAGGGGUUCUGAGAGGAAGGUCCCCCCACACUGGUACUGAGACACGGACCAGACUCCUACGGGAGGCAGCAGUGAGGAAUAUUGGUCAAUGGCCGCAGGGCUGAACCAGCCAAGUCGCGUGAGGGAUG